GAGUUCUGAUUGGCCAAUCGCCGUUAUUUGUGCAGUCCAGUUGGUGGCGGUAAUACACCAUAAGCUGGCUUGUCAACCGCCAUAAAAUCGUACAAGAAGAAGAAGGAUGGACGGCGCACGUGAUUAUCACAUGAUCACAUCACAUGCCUCUCUUUUUUACAGACACGCGUUUGGAGCGAUUGAGUUCGGUAAAGUUGCUAGAUCUUAAGUUGCGAUUGAGUUUUUCUGGCUUUCUGGCUUCGGUUUGCGUUCACACAGAACUCCGGCCAUUUUCAACAUUUUUCCUGAAUCAGAACCCAGUGUAUAUUUAUCUAGAAUCGGAGAACUUCCCCAUUUGCGCAGCGCUAACAUGCCGGCUCGGUUUAACCCGGCCAAACGGCUGAUUUUACUGCCGUGCAUCAUUGUCUGUGCAGGUUGUGCUUCUGUACCGCAGACGUGUGUCCAGUGUUCCCUGUCUUGCGAUGGAGAACCUGAGCCGAAGAAUAAUGAGAGCGUUAUUGUUCUUGUAGAGCAUCUUUCAGAAAAAGUUCAUGAAGAAGUAUAUACGCUCUCAAGUUUGUGUGAUAGAGGACGCUGUUCAGUCCCAGGCUGUUUCCAGAGGGACACACACUACACACUGAAAAUAUAUGCAAAUAACGAUGAUCCGGUGCCUGAAAUAUUGAUUGACAAAUCUAAUUUACGGCCUGACUGUGGUCCAGAGGGCGUAUCAGUCAGGAAAGACCCAAACGGUGCUGAUGGGAAGCACUGUAACAAGCUCCUGAUCCUGCUGGCCUUUUGCUUUUGGAUCGUCUUCCACCUUGAGGGACCAAGAUAAUGUCACAUAUACACAGCAGCUACUCCAGGGCCAAAGAAAUGCUGUUCUUUAUGCACUACAGCAUUACAACACCUGAAACUAUCAUCUCAGGCUUUACAUUACAGGACAAUGGACUUUCUCAGACCAGGAGGCCUCUAUGAUCAAAAAUGCAUUAAAGGAACCAUUGUUUUUGUUAGGCCUGUUUAUAUAUAUACCACAGUUGAUCUGUUAAAAGAAAAUUAUUA
RNAcentral lists this long non-coding RNA (1038 nucleotides) under Sinocyclocheilus anshuiensis. RNAcentral's name for it is "lncRNA (ENSSANG00000023313.1)". The record is from RNAcentral. Lineage: Eukaryota; Metazoa; Chordata; Actinopteri; Cypriniformes; Cyprinidae.